Molecule: ribosomal RNA, 497 nt
Filed under: uncultured bacterium
Lineage: Bacteria
Description: partial 16S ribosomal RNA
Rfam family: Bacterial small subunit ribosomal RNA
Source: RNAcentral
GAUGAACGCUGGCGGCGUGCCUAAUACAUGCAAGUCGAGCGAACAGACGAGGAGCUUGCUCCUCUGACGUUAGCGGCGGACGGGUGAGUAAAACGUGGAUAACCUACCUAUAAGACUGGGAUAACUUCGGGAAACCGGAGCUAAUACCGGAUAAUAUAUUGAACCGCAUGGUUCAAUAGUGAAAGACGGUUUUGCUGUCACCUAUAGAUGGAUCCGCGCCGCAUUAGCUAGUUGGUAAGGUAACGGCUUACCAAGGCAACGAUGCGUAGCCGACCUGAGAGGGUGAUCGGCCGCCCGGGAACUGGGACGCGGUCCAGACUCCUACGGGAGCCACCAGUAGGGCCUCUUGCACAAUGUGCGACAGCCUGACGGAACCACGCCGCGUGAGUGAUGACGGUCUUCGGAUCGCAAAACUCUGUUAUUAGGGAAGAACAAAUCUGUAAGUAACUAUGCACGUCUUGACGGUACCUAAUCAGAAAGCCACGGCUAACUACGUG